GACGAACGCUGGCGGCGUGCCUAAUACAUGCAAGUAGAACGCUGAAGGAGGAGCUUGCUUCUCCGGAUGAGUUGCGAACGGGUGAGUAACGCGUAGGUAACCUGCCUGGUAGCGGGGGAUAACUAUUGGAAACGAUAGCUAAUACCGCAUAACAGUAGAUAUUGCAUGAUAUCUGCUUGAAAGGUGCAAAUGCAUCACUACCAGAUGGACCUGCGUUGUAUUAGCUAGUUGGUGGGGUAACGGCUCACCAAGGCGACGAUACAUAGCCGACCUGAGAGGGUGAUCGGCCACACUGGGACUGAGACACGGCCCAGACUCCUACGGGAGGCAGCAGUAGGGAAUCUUCGGCAAUGGACGGAAGUCUGACCGAGCAACGCCGCGUGAGUGAAGAAGGUUUUCGGAUCGUAAAGCUCUGUUGUAAGAGAAGAAUGAGUGUGAGAGUGGAAAGUUCACACUGUGACGGUAUCUACCA
This 472-nucleotide ribosomal RNA is filed under the name Streptococcus sp. oral taxon 431. Its description in RNAcentral is "bacterial SSU rRNA". It matches the Rfam family "Bacterial small subunit ribosomal RNA", at positions 28 to 485 of the family's 1533-position model. Lineage: Bacteria; Bacillati; Bacillota; Bacilli; Lactobacillales; Streptococcaceae. The record is from RNAcentral.